UACCACUGAAGCUCAAUGUACAGAGGA
This 27-nucleotide non-coding RNA is filed under the name Rattus norvegicus (Norway rat). The record is from RNAcentral. Lineage: Eukaryota; Metazoa; Chordata; Mammalia; Rodentia; Muridae.